CGAAGCGGUUUGACCAUCAACAUAAUAACGACAAAAUAGUUUUAAAAGACUGGGCAACAAGAUGUCGAUGCUUUGUCCAAAUGUGAAUGGACUUUCCAUUUGAAUACGGUUAAUGGCGGCAACGAGAGAGAAAAAACCUACCGUCACCACCGCCGGAAGCUCCAGCACCAUCACUAAUGGAGGCGCAUUUACCACAAUCCAAGAGAUAGUAACAUUCGAGAAGGAAAUAGAAAAGACCAAAUUCAUAGUCAUUGCUGGCCCCAUCUCCGACUAACCAUCUGCUCAGUCUUUCCUCAGUCAGGUCAAGGAUCCCCGUACCACUCACAAUUGCUGGGCUUAUAAGGUUGGGGAUCAGUACCGGUCGAGUGAUGACGGUGAACCUUCUGGAACGGCGGGGAAGCCGAUUCAUUCUUCGGUUCCUUUUUGGGGUUUGGAUAAAGUCAUUGUGGUCGUCAUCAGGUAAAAUUAAUUACUUUUGGGGGAAUUAAAUUGGGAACGGUAGGACUUGUUAGGGCUUACGGUAGAGUGACAUCGGAAUGCUUGAGAAAUGCUCCGAUUUGUCUUGUCAAAUCUAAAGCAAGAAAACAAUUGAAGAUUUUACGAUUUCAAUACAUUGAAAUUCUAAUAUUUGAUUGGAAUUUCCGAAAGGUUCCAAUGGGUGUGGAUGUUCCUUUCGAUCUCUCGCGAGUUCUAUACCGUCAAGUGAGCAUUGUUUUGCAUUAGAAUUAUGCCUCGUUUUCCAAGUAAAUUAAUAUUUUAGGGUUAAUCGUUAGCUUCUGUUAGUCGUAUGCAUAAUUAUUUCAACCAAAACAAUUGUACCAGAGGACAUUAAACAGGAUUAUGAUACCGGCGAAGAUGGGAUCGCCAUGGUUUCAUUCAAAGUUGAUUUUGAUCGGCUUGUGAAAUUAGAAGAGACUAUCAAAACCAAUUGUAGCAGAGAACUUGUGUUUUAUAAGCGGUGAAACCGACUUUGCAAUUUUCUCAGCUUUCCAGGAACAGGCAGGAUCGGUACGUGAUCUAAAUCUAGGCUUGGCAUGUACCUGUAUUUUAUCAUAUCAUAACUAUUGUGUUUAAAAUUUAAGAUGUCGACUUGUAAGUGUUUUGAAACAUUCGAAUGUGUCGUGCUUGUAGAUCAUAUUACGAAAAUAAAUUAAUUAAAUUUGAGAAUUGAGGCAGUCGUGUUUCGAACUGUUGUUCUAGGUCAUAGAACUACAUCUAUGAAAUUGAAUACACAAAGCACACUAUUCACCAUUAUUUGUUCUUUAAAUAUACUCAUAAAACCAACCUUUUCGAUAGCCUUAUAGCUGCUAGAAAUUACUACCAUUUCACACACAACAGAAUAAUCAGAUGUUGAAACGAGGGUUCCAAUUCUUCUUAGGUAUAUCUAUGGCCAUUUUCAAUGCUCUCUUGAGCAUCCCCAUCCGUUCAUUUCCACUAAACCCUUUAAUCCACAACACACUUUUAUUCCUUCCUCCUAUAAACACCAUCUCAGCCCUCACAACCGUCCCACUCACCUUCCUAAUUUCUCGUGUGAGAUCAGCUAUCAGUUCUGGCCUGUCAUCGCAGCUGAAUGUAGCCUUUACCAAAUUCCCAUCCUUUUCAGAAAAACCAAAACUUAAGCUGUUCAACUCACCAGGGAGCACACAUUCCAAGCUUCCGUCAGAAGCUCCUUUCAUUUCUUUUACUCUGUUUUUCAGCUCCCUUACCUGCCUCACUGUCUCACCCAACACAGAUGCCUUGUCCAUCUGUUGCACGAAAUGAAUAGAUUGACUUGAGUACCCUUUCAUUUUUAUAAAGGAGACUGUUGCUUAGGGUUAUGUUACUGAACUCUUCAUUUUUCUUAAAGUACCUGUAUUUGAAAUUUGCAUCUGAUACAUGGAAAGAUUGGGGGUAUGAUCCUCUAAUAUAUUGAAAAAGUGAGCGAAACAAAUUAAGCAUACUAGUGUAGGAUAAAUAUCUAUGGCUGACACUCGCACCAAAUCUGGGAACAUAAGACUAGAGGAAUAGAAGGGUCCGCAGAUGCUGAAAUUCAAACCUCAAUCACCUCUUAAAGAUGGUUUCAUGAACUAACAGGCCUAAACCCAAACCCAAACCCAAUACCCAUGUUUUAUGGAAGCUGUUAUUAAUAAGUAAAAUUCCACAAAAUUUCUGCAAAAAGUUAAUAUAUCAUAUCUACAGUUCAAUGUAAUGGUAAUUAAAUUUAUGUAAUCUCUUCGUCACUUACUUUGAUCAAGUUCGGUAGGAUGGUUCGGAGCAUGUCAAACUGUCGGCUGAUCCGCUUUCUUCGAUGCCUCUCAGCAGUUUUAUGUUUCAGGGCAUUGGCUAUGUUGGCCUCAGCCUUAGGUACAAACCAGAAGAUACAAACAAAUGAUUAUAAGAAGAUUGCUCGACUAAGAAAUGAGAAAAUGGGAAAAACAGUAAACCGUUACCUGUUUAAGACGAACCAUGGGGGAGCUCAGAUUUUCCUCCAGUAGAACUUGUUCAGUAGAAAGAAAGAUUGUAGAUCGGAAGAGAGAUUUUGAUCCAAGAUUGAACAAGGUAUUUCCCUUUUACUGCUUAUUAGCGAGAUGGCAUAUGCACGCAAUAAAUAGAAUAAGAGAUAUCGAAGCUAAUAAAUGAGAGUUAAUGUAUCAAGCAUGGGCUGAUUUUAUGAAAUAUUUGAUAUAAUCUAGACAUUUAACUCUUUAAGAUAUUGGUAUCUAAGAGUUGUUGAUUAUGA
Molecule: long non-coding RNA, 2719 nt
Organism: Gossypium raimondii (Peruvian cotton)
Lineage: Eukaryota; Viridiplantae; Streptophyta; Magnoliopsida; Malvales; Malvaceae
Exons: 3
Source: RefSeq, a predicted model, not a curated record